Molecule: ribosomal RNA, 489 nt
Filed under: Triticum aestivum (bread wheat)
Lineage: Eukaryota; Viridiplantae; Streptophyta; Magnoliopsida; Poales; Poaceae
Description: partial small subunit ribosomal RNA
Source: RNAcentral
AUGCUUCACGAGGCCGAGAUAUUUCCAUUCUUCAUUCAUCGACAUCAGAUUGAACUGAGAAGUCAGUGCCAUAACAAACUUAUUCUUUGGGGAUCUUUGUAUGUAAAGUGUCUCAUUCAAGAAGGAAUGGUCUGGGUGGACGAGCUAGCCCGAGGCGUGGUCUUGCUCGCCAGCGUUGGGCGCAGUUCGGCUAGAAAGAAGAAGGAGCUCCAUCCAGCCUAUGAAGUUCAACCGGUGAGCAUGUGCAGUCCGACGGCGCGUGUGUGCUUGUGUCCGGUUCACGGGCGUACCGUGUGUGGUGCUUGCAUGCACACGGAACCCACAUGUGGUGUGAGGAGAAGCCAAGCUAAAAAGAAGAACACACUACGCAAGACAGGCACAGAGAGGUUCAGGGCUUCAGGCAAUGUGAUGGCGCAGCCGCUGCAGUAUCAACUACAACAGCUCGGCGCUCCUGGUGCUCCUCUCCCUUUGCUACUUUGCAUGCUGUGA